GACGAAGGGGGCUAGCGUUGUUCGGAAUUACUGGGCGUAAAGCGCGUGUAGGCGGUUGCCCAAGUCGGGUGUGAAAGCCUUGAGCUCAACUCAAGAAAUGCACUCGGUACUGGGUGACUAGAGGACCGGAGAGGAUAGUGGAAUUCCCAGUGUAGUGGUGAAAUACGUAGAGAUUGGGAAGAACACCAGUGGCGAAGGCGGCUAUCUGGACGGUUUCUGACGCUAAGACGCGAAAGCCGGGGGAGCAAACAGG
RNAcentral lists this ribosomal RNA (253 nucleotides) under uncultured bacterium. Its description in RNAcentral is "partial 16S ribosomal RNA". It matches the Rfam family "Bacterial small subunit ribosomal RNA", at positions 524 to 776 of the family's 1533-position model. The record is from RNAcentral.